This 482-nucleotide ribosomal RNA is filed under the name uncultured bacterium. RNAcentral describes it as "partial 16S ribosomal RNA". It matches the Rfam family "Bacterial small subunit ribosomal RNA", at positions 28 to 507 of the family's 1533-position model. The record is from RNAcentral.
GACGAACGCUGGCGGCGUGCCUAACACAUGCAAGUCGAACGAUGAAGAAGAGAAACGCGAACUUCGGUUCAAAUUUCACUUCGGAUUAGUGGCAGACGGGUGAGUAACGCGUGAGCAACCUACCUCUUACAAAGGGAUAGCCUCGGGAAACCGUGAUUAAUACCAUAUGACACAUUCAUAAGGCAUCUUAAGAAUGUUAAAGCUACGGCGGUAAGAGAUGGGCUCGCGUCCCAUUAGCUAGUUGGUGAGGUAACGGCCCACCAAGGCGACGAUGGGUAACCGGCCUGAGAGGGUGAACGGUCACAUUGGAACUGAGACACGGUCCAAACUCCUACGGGAGGCAGCAGUGGGGAAUAUUGCACAAUGGAGGGAACUCUGAUGCAGCGACGCCGCGUGAGCGAUGAAGGAAUUCGUUUCGUAAAGCUCUGUUCUAUGGGAAGAAAAGGACUGUACCAUAGGAGAAAGCCCCGGCUAAAUACGUG